Molecule: ribosomal RNA, 390 nt
Filed under: uncultured bacterium
Lineage: Bacteria
Description: bacterial SSU rRNA
Rfam family: Bacterial small subunit ribosomal RNA
Source: RNAcentral
GACGAACGCUGGCGGCGUGCUUAACACAUGCAAGUCGAGCGGUAAGGCCCUUUCGGGGUACACGAGCGGCGAACGGGUGAGUAACACGUGGGUGACCUGCCCUCAGCUCUGGGAUAAGCCUGGGAAACCGGGUCUAAUACUGGAUAUGACUCCAUGACGCAUGUUGUGGGGUGGAAAGCCUUGUGCGGCUGAGGAUGGGCCCGCGGCCUAUCAGCUUGUUGGUGGGGUGAGGGCCUACCAAGGCGACGACGGGUAGCCGGCCUGAGAGGGCGACCGGCCACACUGGGACUGAGACACGGCCCAGACUCCUACGGGAGGCAGCAGUGGGGAAUCUUGCGCAAUGGGCGAAAGCCUGACGCAGCGACGCCGCGUGAGGGAUGACGGCCUCGG